AUGGUGCAGCAGGCUCAUAAACGUCGUCUACCCAUGAUUGUGCUUAAGUUGGAUUUCAGGAAGGCCUUUGACAGUGUCAGUUGGGAUGCUCUAAAUCAAAUCAUGGAAGCCCGAGGCUUUGGGAAUCGAUGGAUACAUUGGAUUAACAUCCUACUAUCAUCCAGCUCUUCAAGUGUCUUGAUCAAUGGGCAGAUUGGGGACAAGAUUAAGUUACAGAGUGGCCUAAGACAAGGGGAUGCUCUAUCCCCUUAUCUUUUUAUUCUCAUGGUUGAUGUUCUACAACAAAUGCGCAUUUCUGAGUAUAACAGGGGAACUCUCCAACAUCCUCUCAACAUUGAUGGGCCUUUUCCAGUUUUACAGUAUGCAGACGAUACUUUGUUGCUAAUCAAGGGCAUGCAAGAGCAAGCACAAGUGGUCAGGAGGAUUUUGGAUGCGUUCUGCGCCUUCACUGGCCUACACAUCAACUUUAACAAGAGCACGUUCGUGCCAGUGGGCAUGGAUGAAACCACUUCCAAUGGGGUGGCUGUUAUUCUGCAGUGUCCUAUCUCCUCUUUCCCAUGGACCUACUUGGGUCUACCUCUGUCCACACAAAAAAUCAGUCACGGGAUGCUGCUACCUGUUAUUCACAGAGUUGACCGCAGGCUAUCCGGCUGGCUCGCCACUUUCCUCUCCUGGGGCGGCCGUCUCACCCUGGUUAAUUCUGUUCUUGCCUCCAUCCCCAAUUACUUCAUGGCAUGUUUCAUAUGGCCACAACAAUCUCUAGACAGACUGGAGCAAAUAUUACAAGGUUUUCUUUAG
Molecule: ribosomal RNA, 798 nt
Filed under: Triticum aestivum (bread wheat)
Lineage: Eukaryota; Viridiplantae; Streptophyta; Magnoliopsida; Poales; Poaceae
Description: partial small subunit ribosomal RNA
Source: RNAcentral